CGCCGUUCUCUGAUGCCAUGCAGUCGAACGAUAGAAGCCCAGCUUGCUGGGUGGAUUAGUGGCGAACGGGUGAGUAACACGUGAGUAACCUGCCCUUGACUCUGGGAUAAGCCUGGGAAACUGGGUCUAAUACCGGAUAGGAACGUCCACCGCAUGGUGGGUGUUGGAAAGAUUUAUCGGUCAUGGAUGGACUCGCGGCCUAUCAGCUUGUUGGUGAGGUAAUGGCUCCACCCAAGGCGACGACCGGUAGCCGGCCUGAGAAGGGUGGACCGGCCACACUGGGACUGAGACACGUGCCAGACUCCUACGGGAGGCAGCAGUGGGGAAUAUUGCACAAUGGGCGAAAGCCUGAUGCAGCGACGCCGCGUGAGGGAUGACGGCCUUCGGGUUGUAAACCUCUUUCAGUAGGGAAGAAGCGAAAGUGACGGUACCUGCAGAAGAAGCACCGGCUAACUACGUGCCAGCAGCCGCGGUAAUACGUAGGGUGCGAGCGUUAUCCGGGAAUUAUUGGGCGUAAAGAGCUCGUAGGCGGUUUGUCGCGUCUGUCGUGAAAGUCCGGGGCUUAACCCCGGAUCUGCGGUGGGUACGGGCAGACUAGAGUGCAGUAGGGGAGACUGGAAUUCCUGGUGUAGCGGUGGAAUGCGCAGAUAUCAGGAGGAACACCGAUGGCGAAGGCAGGUCUCUGGGCUGUAACUGACGCUGAGGAGCGAAAGCAUGGGGAGCGAACAGGAUUAGAUACCCUGGUAGUCCAUGCCGUAAACGUUGGGCACUAGGUGUGGGGACCAUUCCACGGUUUCCGCGCCGCAGCUAACGCAUUAAGUGCCCCGCCUGGGGGAGUACGGCCGCAAGGCUAAAACUCAAAGGAAUUGACGGGGGCCCGCACAAGCGGCGGAGCAUGCGGAUUAAUUCGAUGCAACGCGAAGAACCUUACCAAGGCUUGACAUGUUCUCGAUCGCCGUAGAGAUACGGUUUCCCCUUUGGGGCGGGAUCACAGGUGGUGCAUGGGUUGUCGUCAGCUCGUGUCGUGAGAUGUUGGGUUUAAGUCCCGCAACGAGCGCAACCCUCGUUUCCAUGUUGCCAGCACGUGAUGGUGGGGACUCAUGGGAGACUGCCGGGGUCAACUCGGGAGGAAGGUGGGGACGACGUCAAAUCAUCAUGCCCCUUAUGUUCUUGGUCUUCACGCAUGCUACAAUGUCCGGUACAAUGGGUUGCGAAAUACUGUGAUGUUGCAGCCUCAAUCCCAAAAAGCCGGUCUCAGUUCGGAUUGGGGUCUGCAACUCGACCCCAUGAAGUCGGAGUCGCUAGUAAUCGCAGAUCAGCAACGCUGCGGUGAAUACGUUCCCGGGCCUUGUACACACCGCCCGUCAAGUCACGAAAGUCGGUAACACCCGAAGCCGGUGGCCUAACUCGUUGUGGGUGGAGCGAGCCGGAGAUGUCCGAGCAA
This 1444-nucleotide ribosomal RNA is filed under the name Micrococcus sp. RNAcentral's name for it is "bacterial SSU rRNA". It matches the Rfam family "Bacterial small subunit ribosomal RNA". Lineage: Bacteria; Bacillati; Actinomycetota; Actinomycetes; Micrococcales; Micrococcaceae. The record is from RNAcentral.